AUUGAACGCUGGCGGCAGGCCUAACACAUGCAAGUCGAACGAGUGGCGGACGGGUGAGUAAUGGCUGGGGAACUGCGUGAGGGAGGGGGAUAACUAAUGGAAACGGUAGCUAAUACAGCAUACCAAAGGAGGUGCCCGGAUGGGAUUAGCUAGUAGGUGGGGUAACGGCGCACCUAGGCGACGAUCCCUAGCUGGUCUGAGAGGAUGACCAGCCACACUGGAACUGAGACACGGUCCAGACUCCUACGGGAGGCAGCAGUAGGGAAUAUUGCACAAUGGGCGCAAGCCUGAUGCAGCCAUGCCGCGUGUAUGAAGAAGGCCUUCGGUUUGUAAAGUUCUUUCAUCGGUGAGGCGUUACCCGCACAAAAAGCACCGGCUAACUCCGUGCCAGCAGCCGCGGUAAUAC
This 406-nucleotide ribosomal RNA is filed under the name uncultured bacterium. RNAcentral's name for it is "partial 16S ribosomal RNA". It matches the Rfam family "Bacterial small subunit ribosomal RNA", at positions 30 to 526 of the family's 1533-position model. The record is from RNAcentral.